This 25-nucleotide non-coding RNA is filed under the name Mus musculus (house mouse). Lineage: Eukaryota; Metazoa; Chordata; Mammalia; Rodentia; Muridae. The record is from RNAcentral.
UUUACGCAUAAUUAAACCAUGGGAG